GAAAAAAAAUCAGUUAUUGUUACUUUGGGAUUAUAUUACAGGUGGUAGGAUUUCACUGUUGGUAAAAAUGAUGCAGUUAAGAAGUGGUCUCUGAACUGUGGUGUUAUAUGCCUCAUUUCAUACAUAAAAAAUGUAGCAUAAAUUAUUGUUGUGUCUAGGAGUUGAAUGCCACUAUAGGCAUACUUUUUCCCCAGCCUACAAAAAUUUUUGCCAAAAGAUGAAACAGUGCAAAGUACUGAGUAGAUUCAAAAGAAAAAUGAGAUGGGUAUAAGCAGGAAGUCAGUUUGAUAUUUCUGAGUUUACUAAUGAUCUUUGUCAGAAACAUGAACCAGAAUAAAGUGCAUGGAUUUUCUAAUUAGAAAAAUUAAGGUAAUUUGAGCAGUAGCACAGACAAGAAACUAUUCCACUAUGCUGAUCAUCUGUCAUGACAUCAAGACAAAUGGUUGAAGGAGUUAGGCUUUAUACCAAUAAUUAAACUCAGAUGCCUGGAGGGGAACUGAUUACGUAUUACCCACUAGUGUGGUACAGUGAGAGAAACAGACAAAGCUGCUCUGUGAGGUCUUGUAGGUCCAGUAACGCUGAUGAAAAAAGAUGCACAGAGUUGUCUGAAAUGUGCUGGCUACAAGUUGAAGUGGGCCUUGUUUGUUAAGAGAAACCAGUCACUGUCACACACGAUUACUACUCUAGGAGUAAAAUGGAUGGGUAUUUGUGGUGAUAUAUUCACAAUAUACUUACUUUAUAUACACAAUUUAUCAUCUCUCUUGAGUUCUUCUGGGCUAUUCUGCAUAUCCUAAGAUACAGAUGUCUCCAAGGACUGUGAAUACACUACAAGGAACAGAGAGCUGAUAUGCUGCUAAUAAGUUUUGUGUCAAGAGGAUACUCUUACUAGAAUUGUGUUAAAAACUCAAUAUGUUUGGAGGAGGGAGAGAGGAGUAGAAAAACUUUGGGGCUGCGAAGCUGCUGCUUUGCAAACCAUUUUGAUACUUUUUGCUGCAGUUUCUUUGCAAUGCCACUUUCUCUCUCCAAACUCCCUUCAGCACAGAAUGUGGGAACCAUAAGGCAGAAAGACAGGUUUCAUACAGUUUUACAUUCUUUAAUUAGCUGGAUCUCCACUGUGCAGUCAGCAGGAUCUUUUUUUUUUUUUUCCUGUAACAGAG
This 1157-nucleotide long non-coding RNA is filed under the name Anser brachyrhynchus (Pink-footed goose). RNAcentral's name for it is "lncRNA (ENSABRG00000005305.1)". The record is from RNAcentral. Lineage: Eukaryota; Metazoa; Chordata; Aves; Anseriformes; Anatidae.